This is a long non-coding RNA of Daktulosphaira vitifoliae (grape phylloxera), 602 nucleotides long. RefSeq lists it as uncharacterized. The transcript has 3 exons. NCBI's taxonomy places the organism in Eukaryota, Metazoa, Arthropoda, Insecta, Hemiptera, Phylloxeridae. The record is from RefSeq and is a predicted model, not a curated record.
CAGGUUAUAAUAAAUAAAGUAUCUAAAAUAUACGGAGCGUUAAACUUGACACCAAACUCUAUGAGCUCAACUAAAAUCUUUACACUCAAUUCAAGUUUGUUUUGACUGGAAAAGAUGAGGUGUUUAAUAAAUUCCUGAGUAUUACAAACAAGGUAAAGGGCAAAACGCAAAAAGAACAGAAUGGUUCAACCAACCUAAGCUAGAUUAUUAAGAUGGAUGAUGUCAUUUUACAGAUUUAAGUUCUUGGAAAACGUGAAGAAGGAUGUACUUUACAAAGAGCAAUCACAAGCUAAGAGCUUUGAUUUAUUAUUCAAAUAUUUUACAGCUAUGUAAUAUUUUUUUUAGGUUUUACUCAUUCUAUUCUUUAACGAUUUUUAUUUUAAGUGUUUUAUGUAAAUAAUAUAAAAAUAUACUAAUUAUUAGUAAAAUAUAACUAUAUUAUGUUAAAUUUAUUUAUAUCGUAUGUAUUAAAUAUUUUUAAACCUAUUAUAUAGUAUUAAUUAAAUACAAAUUCAACUGGUAUUUUACAUUUUUAUGUUGUAACAAAAUCCUAUAUUUGAUCAUUCUACCAUGAAAUAUUUAUAAUAUUUGAAUAUAGAUAG